UUCCCUCGAAUCAUUAUGUGAACCGAUUCUCUCCACGAUCAUUGAUUUAUUUAAUUGUUUUUAUAUAGAGAGCACCUUUGUGGGGGUUUAGCCGUUUAGGGUUGGUUAAUAUUAGCUGAUACUGUAUGGUUUGUUAUGCAUGAUCAAUUGAUCAUGCAUAUAGAUUUAUAGUAUCAACGACAGAAAAUCAGGUGGAAGUUCCCAACGGGUAAAUUCAGCUUUCCAAAUGUUGAUAGAUUAGAUUUUCUUAUGUCCAAAAUAGUAUUUUUAAAAAGAAAA
RNAcentral lists this long non-coding RNA (279 nucleotides) under Brassica napus (rape). RNAcentral describes it as "long non-coding RNA (BNAP_LNC000964)". Lineage: Eukaryota; Viridiplantae; Streptophyta; Magnoliopsida; Brassicales; Brassicaceae. The record is from RNAcentral.